UACGUAGGGUGCAAGCGUUGUCCGGAAUUAUUGGGCGUAAAGAGCUCGUAGGCGGCCUGUCGCGUCCGCUGUGAAAUCCCGGGGCUUAACCCCGGGCCUGCAGUGGGUACGGGCAGACUAGAGUGCGGUAGGGGAGACUGGAAUUCCUGGUGUAGCGGUGAAAUGCGCAGAUAUCAGGAGGAACACCGGUGGCGAAGGCGGGUCUCUGGGCCGUAACUGACGCUGAGGAGCGAAAGCGUGGGGAGCGAACAGG
This 253-nucleotide ribosomal RNA is filed under the name uncultured bacterium. RNAcentral describes it as "partial 16S ribosomal RNA". It matches the Rfam family "Bacterial small subunit ribosomal RNA", at positions 524 to 776 of the family's 1533-position model. The record is from RNAcentral.